CUCGUUCAUCACUUUCGUGGGGAGCUCAGGCCGUAAAGCCUCCGGUGGGGGUGGGCUAGGGCUGCUGGUAGGUAGGUAGGUGGGGGGUACCUGGUGGGGGGCGCGGUGCCGGAGGGCGGCAGGAGGAGGAGGAGGAGGAGGCCGCGACGGCGCCGCCGCGGCCGCUGGAGCGGCCUCAAGAACGACGGCGGCUCGGCGGAGGGCGACCUCCUGUAGGAGAAGACGCAGCUGCACCUGCGGCUCCGCGCGAGGCUCUACUUCCAGCGGCGGCGCAGGCGCAGGGGGCGGAGGAGGCCGAGGUGGCCGAGGGGGCCGGGGCCGCGCGAGUACCUAGGCCGCCGCGGGGGGGCGGGGCGCGCGGGCCGCCACGCCGCCUACCUGCGGCAGUUCGUCCGCGAGUACGAGAAGGAGGUGUCGUUCGAGUGGUACACGGGGCUGGUGGCGAAGCGGAAGCGGAGGGAGGCGCUGUGGCAGAGGAACUAUUCGUUUCUUAAGUGGUCACUACGACGAAGAAGUUAACUAUGUUAGGCCAGCAACCGACGAUGACUUUGCUCUAUACGUCACCGACUAGAGUGAGUAGAGAAGUUCUAUCGCAUGCUCCUUCCCUUUUCCCGUCUUUGCGUUCCCGCUGAUGAAUCUCACCACGAGUAGAUGACGGCCAGGAGUUGGUUCGGGGUGGUAGACACCGGGCAUUUCGGUUUCUUGAAGUGGUACCUGUAUCAGAUAGACGUGCUGUUCGGAUGACGACUAUUGACGGGUGUUUUACACAUACUGCGCGACCAACUACGGGAGCUCGUACAGUCGGUCAUGCUCCCGAUGUAAGAACUCUCGCCGGUUCCCGAACGGGCCCAGGACAAGGCGGUCUAUACGUAGUAGAAUAGUGUGGGGAACGAUGCGACGUACGUUCUACUGGAACUAUAUGGGUUCGUUCAACAAUUCUUUUAAGACCGGUAACUUCCACACGUCUCGCUUCUACCGCGAGGCCGGAGGCCGUCGGUCAUCACUUAGUGGGAUCAAGUUACCAUACACAAGUACUUCGGACAAGACACACAACAUUUCCCGGUUCGUCUAUGUGAAAAUGACGACACCUCUCUAACCCAACCGUAACUUGUACAUAUUUAACGAGGAAAUAAACGUAGUAUAGUCAUUGACGUUAGAUGGAACAUAAAGGCGUCACAGCACUUGGCCACUGCUUAGACUAUGAUCGUAAAAAACGACCAAAGACAUAACACGUCCCCCAAAGAAAACGUAUCUCUUUACAGUACGUAGAUCAAUCCAUCAAUGUCGUGGAAUGUACUUAAAUUGGACAAAAAAGAGACCAAUAUAUGUAAGUCUUCUAGACUUUACAACUUACCUAUUAAGUGUCUUUAGAGUUUUAAGUAGCAACACCUGC
Molecule: ribosomal RNA, 1393 nt
Filed under: Triticum aestivum (bread wheat)
Lineage: Eukaryota; Viridiplantae; Streptophyta; Magnoliopsida; Poales; Poaceae
Description: partial small subunit ribosomal RNA
Source: RNAcentral